Molecule: small RNA, 169 nt
Filed under: Arabidopsis thaliana (thale cress)
Lineage: Eukaryota; Viridiplantae; Streptophyta; Magnoliopsida; Brassicales; Brassicaceae
Description: ATSL272910
Source: RNAcentral
AUGAAUUUACACAACUAAUACCGGGUGUCUCACUCACCAUUCGAUUCAUUUUUUAAGGCGGCAUUGUGAAGUUUUCAUCAAAAUCUAAAACAUCAAAUGAGUUUAUGAACUGAAAUGGUUUCUAAAAAUGAUUGAAUAAAUUCUAAAAUCCCAUAUUUGAUUCCAAAAU